Molecule: ribosomal RNA, 801 nt
Filed under: Triticum aestivum (bread wheat)
Lineage: Eukaryota; Viridiplantae; Streptophyta; Magnoliopsida; Poales; Poaceae
Description: partial small subunit ribosomal RNA
Source: RNAcentral
AUGGUAUGUUGUAAUGAUAUCCACCUUGCUAUGCGCUCAAAAUGCGGUUGUGCCCCAGUCAUGAGUUCAUCACGUGAUUGGGAUAGAAUCGCAUCUUGGGCACGACAGUUGGCCACAAUCGAGCGCCGUGAUGAGACGUCUGCUACAUCCACCGAUGACCUCCAACUCAAGGCGUCCAUGGACGCCAUCAGUGUGUAUCCAUCCGAGCUCGCAGUGCCUAAAGCACCAUUUCCGUCCGUGACCACCGACAAUUCCGUCCCGGAGCUUAGUGUGACUGACAAGGUGCUCGAAGUUGACGACACCAGCAACGCCGCUACGCUGCCCACCACCUGUUCGAUAGGGUGCCCAAGGUGUGACACGCCCGAGGAGUCAGCGCUCACUUUGUCCAUGACACUACCUUCAUCCAUGGUCAUUGGCAACGCCGCUUCCGAGCUUGCUGCACCUGUAUGUGGCCUCUAUCAUAAUACUGACAAAGACGACCCAAUGGUGUCGUGCCUAGUUCCCUGGAGUGCACCUUCACCCUUCACAAUGCCACAUGAAGCCUCACCAAUGCCUCUGCCUUGGCUGUUUCCUGUCCUUGAUGUGGACAACUUGGCACCCACUAGGUGUUCGACAGAGGUACCUAUCAAGAGCGUGUUCUCCAUGGCAUCUCAGUUCACACAAGGCACUGACACUCAAGGCACUAACAGUAGAGUUGAGUUGCAUCCGUUACCAUGGGCAUCCUUUGCAUGCAUUCUGAUGGAAAUUAGUGCAGCUGGAAACACUGGAGAUACUUGUGACAAUUGCUUCAGCUGGUUAUAA